CCAAGAGCCUAGGAAGCUAGAUACCUAUAUCCUCUAUCUUUCAGUAUUCUAAUUAUAUACAAGAAACAGCAAGCUGGUAGUCAUGCAGACUUUGAUUGUUGUCAUUUUUGCCUCUCUGUUUUUCAUUGGAACUAUUCAUGAAGCCCAUGCACAAAUGCUCCCUGUAGCAAGUCGUCGGUUUCUUAGUGAAGUUGAUCCUCAUCGAGCUGUUCCUGAUGGUCCGAAUAGAUGUACUAGUUGUCAUCAUUAUCAUACAUAUGGUCAAAAGGCUCCUCCUCGUGAUUUGGAUCUUUCCGAAUCUUAUGGCCCGCCACGUUCCUAAAGGCGAUAGCCUCUACAACUGUUGCUGUCAUGUGUGAUAAGGAUGUGUUUGAUUGGAAAUAAUGUGGAACUAACAUGUAUAGUGGCCAAAAGAGUAGUAAUUUAUGGUCAUGGAAGUUUCACAGAGUUUGAAGUAGGAUGAGUCUGUAAUAAUAAGGUUUCUUGUUUGUGUGUAACAGCAAAAUCUAGUGUGUUAAUUUACGUUAAUUGUUGAGGCCAUGAAAGUUUCAGAAAGUUUAUUACAUGUACAUGUUCGGUUCAACCAAUAAGUUCACAAGCUGAGAUGUGGGAAGAAUUAAUAUAUAUAAAGUUUGAUUGAUUUA
Molecule: long non-coding RNA, 644 nt
Organism: Olea europaea var. sylvestris
Lineage: Eukaryota; Viridiplantae; Streptophyta; Magnoliopsida; Lamiales; Oleaceae
Exons: 2
Source: RefSeq, a predicted model, not a curated record